GUUUCCUGCCACAAAUCCCUGUCAAGAUGAUGCUUGACGGGGAUUUAUUUUUUUGAGCU
Molecule: small RNA, 59 nt
Filed under: Listeria monocytogenes serotype 4b str. LL195
Lineage: Bacteria; Bacillati; Bacillota; Bacilli; Caryophanales; Listeriaceae
Description: ctRNA
Source: RNAcentral